RNAcentral lists this ribosomal RNA (595 nucleotides) under uncultured bacterium. Its description in RNAcentral is "bacterial SSU rRNA". It matches the Rfam family "Bacterial small subunit ribosomal RNA", at positions 9 to 598 of the family's 1533-position model. The record is from RNAcentral.
GAGUUUGAUCAUGGCUCAGAUUGAACGCUGGCGGCAGGCUUAACACAUGCAAGUCGAGCGGGGAGAUGUAGCUUGCUACAUUUCCUAGCGGCGGACGGGUGAGUAAUGCUUAGGAAUCUGCCUAUUAGUGGGGGACAACAUUCCGAAAGGAAUGCUAAUACCGCAUACGCCCUACGGGGGAAAGCAGGGGAUCUUCGGACCUUGCGCUAAUAGAUGAGCCUAAGUCAGAUUAGCUAGUUGGUGGGGUAAAGGCCUACCAAGGCGACGAUCUGUAGCGGGUCUGAGAGGAUGAUCCGCCACACUGGGACUGAGACACGGCCCAGACUCCUACGGGAGGCAGCAGUGGGGAAUAUUGGACAAUGGGCGAAAGCCUGAUCCAGCCAUGCCGCGUGUGUGAAGAAGGCCUUUUGGUUGUAAAGCACUUUAAGCGAGGAGGAGGCUACUUAGAUUAAUACUCUAGGAUAGUGGACGUUACUCGCAGAAUAAGCACCGGCUAACUCUGUGCCAGCAGCCGCGGUAAUACAGAGGGUGCGAGCGUUAAUCGGAUUUACUGGGCGUAAAGCGUGCGUAGGCGGCUUUUUAAGUCGGAUGUGAA